UUUCUUUGUCGUGUGUGAAACUGGUGGUGUGCAUCUCACUCGUGAAAUAUUGGGCACAUCAGGCAACCAUAGUAAAGUAAUACUUUAGUGAAUGUUUCGCCAAGAAAACAUUGUUAACAUUCACCACCACCCGAAACUUUAAUUUGAGAAUACCUAAUAUUUGAAACUCCUUUUCCAAUUACAAAAUGAAUGAGAAUUUCACAAGUUGUGAAGCAGACAUUGUGGGGUAUCUGCUCUUGUGCUCUCACCUCCAUGCCAGAUGGCCAUUAAGAAGGACCAUAAAUGUGUGGAUUGUGGAGACAAACAUUGUGGUUCCAACGGUUUCCUUAGUUAG
Long non-coding RNA from Daphnia carinata, 334 nucleotides. RefSeq lists it as uncharacterized. NCBI's taxonomy places the organism in Eukaryota, Metazoa, Arthropoda, Branchiopoda, Diplostraca, Daphniidae. The transcript is spliced from 3 exons. The record is from RefSeq and is a predicted model, not a curated record.